This 427-nucleotide ribosomal RNA is filed under the name uncultured bacterium. Its description in RNAcentral is "partial 16S ribosomal RNA". It matches the Rfam family "Bacterial small subunit ribosomal RNA", at positions 355 to 774 of the family's 1533-position model. The record is from RNAcentral.
UGGGGAAUAUUGGACAAUGGGCGAAAGCCUGAUCCAGCCAUGCCGCGUGUGUGAAGAAGGUCUUCGGAUUGUAAAGCACUUUAAGUUGGGAGGAAGGGCAUUAACCUAAUACGUUAGUGUUUUGACGUUACCGACAGAAUAAGCACCAGCUAACUCUGUGCCAGCAGCCGAGGUAAUACAGAGGGUGCAAGCGUUAAUCGGAAUUACUGGGCGUAAAGCGCGCGUAGGUGGUUUGUUAAGUUGGAUGUGAAAUCCCCGGGCUCAACCUGGGAACUGCAUUCAAAACUGACUGACUAGAGUAUGGUAGAGGGUGGUGGAAUUUCCUGUGUAGCGGUGAAAUGCGUAGAUAUAGGAAGGAACACCAGUGGCGAAGGCGACCACCUGGACUAAUACUGACACUGAGGUGCGAAAGCGUGGGGAGCAAACA